This 85-nucleotide transfer RNA is filed under the name Myxococcales bacterium. Its description in RNAcentral is "tRNA-Leu". It matches the Rfam family "tRNA". From Rfam's summary of the family: Transfer RNA (tRNA) molecules are approximately 80 nucleotides in length. Their secondary structure includes four short double-helical elements and three loops (D, anti-codon, and T loops). The record is from RNAcentral. RNAcentral also lists the same sequence under 1 other name. Lineage: Bacteria; Pseudomonadati; Myxococcota; Myxococcia; Myxococcales.
GCUCGAGUGGCGGAAUGGCAGACGCUCCAGAUUCAAAUCCUGGCGCUCCUUGGCGAGCUUGUGAGUUCGACUCUCACCUCGAGCA